This 475-nucleotide long non-coding RNA is filed under the name Lotus japonicus. RNAcentral describes it as "long non-coding RNA (LJAP_LNC000753)". The record is from RNAcentral. Lineage: Eukaryota; Viridiplantae; Streptophyta; Magnoliopsida; Fabales; Fabaceae.
ACCAAAGCACAUGAACCAUCCAACCCCCAUCUCAAGUGCCUUUUUUACACUUCAUUGUCGCCCUCCAAGCUGCAAAGCUAACUCCUGUAUUGAAAUUUCCUCUUGGCAAUCUAAGAGCAUCCCCACACGUUGGCUUCUGAUAAACGCACGCCUAGCACGAGUUUGCACCCCUUGUGGACUAUGCACAUUAAGAGGUAACAAAUAUCGCAAAUAAGCUGAUGUUGCUAACUUUUCCCCUUCUGAAAUCGGUACUGAUUUCUUUGGCCUCCCCCUUGGUCACUUAGUUCCCUCCUUCAUUGCCAUUUUCCUUUCUUCUCUAGGCCUCCUUUUUAAGUUCAAACGCUAUUCAUAUCGUUUAUCAUAUUUUGAGUGAUAACAAUUUCAAAGAUAUAAGUGUAACAUUUAAAAACUUUCACAUGAAUUGUGUUUCAGGAAACAUCACUUAUGGUUUGUACCCUAUACUGUCUGAUGAUAA